This 358-nucleotide ribosomal RNA is filed under the name uncultured bacterium. RNAcentral's name for it is "bacterial SSU rRNA". It matches the Rfam family "Bacterial small subunit ribosomal RNA", at positions 335 to 678 of the family's 1533-position model. The record is from RNAcentral.
ACUCCUACGGGAGGCAGCAGUGGGGAAUAUUGCACAAUGGGGGAAACCCUGAUGCAGCCAUGCCGCGUGUGUGAAGAAGGCCUUCGGGUUGUAAAGCACUUUCAGCGAGGAGGAAAGGGUGUAAGUUAAUACCUUACAUCUGUGACGUUACUCGCAGAAGAAGCACCGGCUAACUCCGUGCCAGCAGCCGCGGUAAUACGGAGGGUGCGAGCGUUAAUCGGAAUUACUGGGCGUAAAGCGUGCGCAGGCGGUUUGUUAAGCGAGAUGUGAAAGCCCCGGCUCAAGCCUGGGAACCGGCAAUUCGAACUUGGACAAACGUAAGAGUCAUUGUAGUAGGGGGGUAGAAUUGGCCAGGUAG